This 253-nucleotide ribosomal RNA is filed under the name uncultured bacterium. Its description in RNAcentral is "partial 16S ribosomal RNA". It matches the Rfam family "Bacterial small subunit ribosomal RNA", at positions 524 to 776 of the family's 1533-position model. The record is from RNAcentral.
UACGGAGGGUGCAAGCGUUAUCCGGAUUCACUGGGUUUAAAGGGUGCGUAGGCGGGCAUGUAAGUCAGUGGUGAAAUCUCCGGGCUUAACUCGGAAACUGCCGUUGAUACUACUUGUCUUGAAUAUCAUGGAGGUAAGCGGAAUAUGUCAUGUAGCGGUGAAAUGCUUAGAUAUGACAUAGAACACCGAUAGCGAAGGCAGCUUACUACAUGUUCAUUGACGCUGAGGCACGAAAGCGUGGGGAGCAAACAGG